Molecule: ribosomal RNA, 473 nt
Filed under: uncultured organism
Description: partial 16S ribosomal RNA
Rfam family: Bacterial small subunit ribosomal RNA
Source: RNAcentral
ACUCCUGCGGGAGGCAGCAGUGGGGAAUUUUGGACAAUGGGCGAAAGCCUGAUCCAGCAAUGCCGCGUGUGUGAAGAAGGCCUUCGGGUUGUAAAGCACUUUUGUCCGGAAAGAAAUCCUUGGCUCUAAUACAGUCGGGGGAUGACGGUACCGGAAGAAUAAGCACCGGCUAACUACGUGCCAGCAGCCGCGGUAAUACGUAGGGUGCGAGCGUUAAUCGGAAUUACUGGGCGUAAAGCGUGCGCAGGCGGUUUGCUAAGACCGAUGUGAAAUCCCCGGGCUCAACCUGGGAACUGCAUUGGUGACUGGCAGGCUAGAGUAUGGCAGAGGGGGGUAGAAUUCCACGUGUAGCAGUGAAAUGCGUAGAGAUGUGGAGGAAUACCGAUGGCGAAGGCAGCCCCCUGGGCCAAUACUGACGCUCAUGCACGAAAGCGUGGGGAGCAAACAGGAUUAGAAACCCCGGUAGUCCCAUG